Small nuclear RNA from Meriones unguiculatus (Mongolian gerbil), 107 nucleotides. Lineage: Eukaryota; Metazoa; Chordata; Mammalia; Rodentia; Muridae. The record is from Ensembl.
GUGCUUAUUUCAGCAGCACAUAUACUAAAAUUGGAACAAUAUAGAGAAGAUUAUCAUGGGCCCUGUGCAGGGAUGACAAGCAACUUAGUAAAGCAUUCCAUAUUUUU